This 73-nucleotide transfer RNA is filed under the name Aedes aegypti (yellow fever mosquito). It matches the Rfam family "tRNA". Rfam says of the family: Transfer RNA (tRNA) molecules are approximately 80 nucleotides in length. Their secondary structure includes four short double-helical elements and three loops (D, anti-codon, and T loops). The record is from Rfam by way of RNAcentral. Lineage: Eukaryota; Metazoa; Arthropoda; Insecta; Diptera; Culicidae.
CGUCUCGUGGUGUAGGGGUAACGCGCCCUUUCUAGUGAACAGGAAGUCGUGAGUUCGAUUCUCACCGAGAAGA